CUUUCUCUCUCUAUAUUUGCUUCUCUCCUUCAUCUCUCUUUAUACCCUCAGAUGCCGCCAUCUCUUUCAGCCAAACCAUCACCGAUCGACGACGGCCAUAGAUAUCAUCAGCCAUAAGAAGGGUAAAUCUCCAUCCAAAAGAACAGAUUCACCCUUACUGCGUGACGAAGCAUCAAAGAUUUGGUAGGUUUUUGUGUGGUAGUGGCGGCGAUUUUGUGGGGGUGGAUCUAGAAUCGUCGGCCAAAAGAAAUACAAAUAGGGGGAUAGAAGUUAGCGAUGCAGACGGGCGAUGCCACGCGAAGUCGUUGAUGAGAUUUCUCUCUGUUUCGAUGGUGGUGAUGGUGUGUGGUAGCGAUGUUGUGGUGGUGGCUGGCAGUGGCGUAUCUGGUAGUUGAGGUCGAUGUGCAGUGGUUUUGAUGUAUGAGUUUUUCUGUUGGUGGAGGCUAAUGAAAUGGUAAGAGAUUUUGGGUUAUUAUUGUAGUAGUGGUGAUGUCGAUGAUGGUAGCGAUGGGCGACGUCGCUAGUGGUUGUUGGCAAUGUUGGGGUGCUUUGGAGUGGUGUUAUAGGGCAUGGGUGCUAUUGGUGUUGUAGUGGUGGUGAUGUUGACGGUGGUGACAGCUUCCAUGUUUUGGAGGUAGCAGGGCGAUAAUGGUGAUAGUGAUGGUGGUUGUAGUGGUCGUGGCGAUGGUUGUGAGUGGGAUGAGAUGGGG
Molecule: long non-coding RNA, 710 nt
Filed under: Olea europaea subsp. europaea
Lineage: Eukaryota; Viridiplantae; Streptophyta; Magnoliopsida; Lamiales; Oleaceae
Source: RNAcentral